CCUACGGGAGGCAGCAGUGGGGGAUAUUGCACAAUGGGGGAAACCCUGAUGCAGCGACGCCGCGUGUGGGAAGACGGUCCUCUGGAUUGUAAACCACUGUCCCCAGGGACGAAGAUGACGGUACCUGGGGAGGAAGCUCCGGCUAACUACGUGCCAGCAGCCGCGGUAAUACGGAGGGAGCGAGCGUUGUCCGGAGUUACUGGGUGUAAAGGGAGCGUAGGCGGGGAUGCAAGUUGGGUGUCAAAACUACCGGCUCAACUGGUAGUCGCACUCAAAACUGCAGCUCUUGAGUGAAGUAGAGGCAGGCGGAAUUCCUAGGGUAGCGGUGAAAGGCGUAGAUAUUAGGAGGAACACCAGUGGCGAAGGCGGCCUGCUGGGCUUUUACUGACGCUGAGGCUCGAAAGUGUGGGGAGCAAACAGGAUUAAAUACCCCUGUAGUC
Molecule: ribosomal RNA, 440 nt
Filed under: uncultured bacterium
Lineage: Bacteria
Description: partial 16S ribosomal RNA
Rfam family: Bacterial small subunit ribosomal RNA
Source: RNAcentral